RNAcentral lists this ribosomal RNA (490 nucleotides) under uncultured bacterium. Its description in RNAcentral is "partial 16S ribosomal RNA". It matches the Rfam family "Bacterial small subunit ribosomal RNA", at positions 30 to 507 of the family's 1533-position model. The record is from RNAcentral.
AUUGAACGCUGGCGGCAGGCCUAACACAUGCAAGUCGAACGGUAACAGGAAGAAGCUUGCUUCUUUGCUGACGAGUGGCGGACGGGUGAGUAAUGUCUGGGAAACUGCCUGAUGGAGGGGGAUAACUACUGGAAACGGUAGCUAAUACCGCAUAACGUCGCAAGACCAAAGAGGGGGACCUUCGGGCCUCUUGCCAUCGGAUGUGCCCAGAUGGGAUUAGCUAGUAGGUGGGGUAACGGCUCACCUAGGCGACGAUCCCUAGCUGGUCUGAGAGGAUGACCGGCCACACUGGAACUGAGACACGGUCCAGACUCCUACGGGAGGCAGCAGUGGGGAAUAUUGCACAAUGGGCGCAAGCCUGAUGCAGCCAUGCCGCGUGUAUGAAGAAGGCCUUCGGGUUGUAAAGUACUUUCAGCGGGGAGGAAGGGAGUAAAGUUAAUACCCUUGCUCAUUGACGUUACCCGCAGAAGAAGCACCGGCUAACUCCGUG